Molecule: ribosomal RNA, 495 nt
Filed under: uncultured bacterium
Lineage: Bacteria
Description: partial 16S ribosomal RNA
Rfam family: Bacterial small subunit ribosomal RNA
Source: RNAcentral
GAUGAACGCUGGCGGCGUGCCUAAUACAUGCAAGUCGAGCGAACAGACGAGGAGCUUGCUCCUCUGACGUUAGCGGCGGACGGGUGAGUAACACGUGGAUAACCUACCUAUAAGACUGGGAUAACUUCGGGAAACCGGAGCUAAUACCGGAUAAUAUAUUGAACCGCAUGGUUCAAUAGUGAAAGACGGUUUUGCUGUCACUUAUAGAUGGAUCCGCGCCGCAUUAGCUAGUUGGUAAGGUAACGGCUUACCAAGGCAACGAUGCGUAGCCGACCUGAGAGGUGAACGGCCAACCCUGAAACGGAACCCCGGUCCAGCCCCCGACGGGGGCCGGAAGUAGGGAUUCUCCCGCAAGGGCGGAAGCCUUAAGGGACCACCGCGGGGGGAGGAAGAAGGUUCUCCGAACCGUAAACCUCUUUUUUAGGGAAAAAAAAAAUGUUUAAGUAACUAUCCCCGUUUGAAGGGCCCUAAACAAAAAACCCCCGCCAACCUACG